This 396-nucleotide long non-coding RNA is filed under the name Homo sapiens (human). RNAcentral's name for it is "HSALNT0234450". The record is from RNAcentral. Lineage: Eukaryota; Metazoa; Chordata; Mammalia; Primates; Hominidae.
GCCACCCUCUGCUUAGUCGGCCCAGCCCACCCAGACCUGACACUGGCUCCAGUGCAGCAGGAGCACGAGGAGGCCACACGGAGGUGCCCGUGUGGAUGCUGUCGGCCGUGGCCCACGCUGCACACGGCACCCUGCACAAGAGCGCCCAGCCUGGGGUGGCCUCUCCCCCGCUGUGCUGCGGGGACCCACCUCACCAAGGGAGCUCUUGAGGACCCCAGAGUCCGUGUCAGGUGACAGGCCUAGGAACUUUCACAACAAAGUGGCCUCUGAUCGUUUCCCAGACCUUUCUGCUCAUGUCCGUUAGAAAAUUCUGGAGAGGCCCGGUGGCUCACACAGAGGCAGGUGGAUCACCUGAGAUCAGGAGUUGGAGGUCAGCCUGGCCAACAUGGCAAAACU